This 664-nucleotide ribosomal RNA is filed under the name uncultured Campylobacterota bacterium. RNAcentral describes it as "bacterial SSU rRNA". It matches the Rfam family "Bacterial small subunit ribosomal RNA", at positions 100 to 785 of the family's 1533-position model. The record is from RNAcentral. Lineage: Bacteria; Pseudomonadati; Campylobacterota.
GGACGGGUGAGUAAUGUAUAGUUAAUCUGCCCUUUAGAGGGGGAUAACAGUUGGAAACGACUGCUAAUACCCCAUACUCCUUUUAUCUUAAUGAUAAUUGGGAAACGUUUUUUCGCUAAAGGAUGAGACUAUAUGGUAUCAGGUAGUUGGUGGGGUAAGAGCCCACCAAGCCAAUGACGCCUAGCUGGUCUGAGAGGAUGAUCGGCCACACUGGAACUGAGACACGGUCCAGACUCCUACGGGAGGCAGCAGUGGGGAAUAUUGCACAAUGGAGGAAACUCUGAUGCAGCAACGCCGCGUGGAGGAUGACGCAUUUCGGUGUGUAAACUCCUUUUAUAUGGGAAGAUAAUGACGGUACCAUAUGAAUAAGCACCGGCUAACUCCGUGCCAGCAGCCGCGGUAAUACGGAGGGUGCAAGCGUUACUCGGAAUCACUGGGCGUAAAGCGCGCGCAGGCGGCCUUUUAAGUUGGAUGUGAAAGCCUAUGGCUCAACCAUAGAACUGCAUCCAAACUAUCGGGCUAGAGUGUGGGAGAGGGAAGAUGGAAUUACCUGUGUAGGGGUAAAAUCCGUAGAGAUAACUAGGAAUACCAAAAGCGAAUGCAAUCUUCUGGAAAAUUACUGACGCUGAGGGGCGAAAGCGUGGGGACAAACAGGAUUACAUAC